Molecule: ribosomal RNA, 253 nt
Filed under: uncultured bacterium
Lineage: Bacteria
Description: partial 16S ribosomal RNA
Rfam family: Bacterial small subunit ribosomal RNA
Source: RNAcentral
UACGUAGGGGGCAAGCGUUGUCCGGAAUCACUGGGCGUAAAGCGCGCGCAGGCGGCGAUCUGCGUCUGGGGUGAAAGCCCGGAGCUCAACUCCGGGAUUGCCUUGGAUACGGGGUCGCUUGAGGAUCGGAGAGGCAAGGGGAAUUCCACGUGUAGCGGUGAAAUGCGUAGAGAUGUGGAGGAACACCUGUGGCGAAGGCGCCUUGCUGGCCGAUUUCUGACGCUGAGGCGCGAAAGCGUGGGGAGCAAACAGG